RNAcentral lists this ribosomal RNA (459 nucleotides) under uncultured bacterium. RNAcentral describes it as "partial 16S ribosomal RNA". It matches the Rfam family "Bacterial small subunit ribosomal RNA", at positions 338 to 795 of the family's 1533-position model. The record is from RNAcentral.
CCUACGGGUGGCAGCAGUGAGGAAUAUUGGUCAAUGGCCGCAAGGCUGAACCAGCCAAGUCGCGUGAGGGACGACUGCCCUAUGGGUUGUAAACCUCUUUUGUCGGGGAGGAAUAAAUACUACGUGUAGCCUGAUGCCUGUACCUUAUGAAUAAACCUCGGCAAACUCCGUGCCAGCAGCCGCGGUAAUACGGAGGAUUCGAGCGUUAUCCGGAUUUAUUGGGUUUAAAGGGUGCGUAGGCGGGCUUUUAAGUCAGCGGUAAAAAUUCGGGGCUCAACCCCGUCCGGCCGUUGAAACUGGGGGCCUUGAGUGGGCGAGAAGAAGGCGGAAUGCGUGGUGUAGCGGUGAAAUGCAUAGAUAUCACGCAGAACCCCGAUUGCGAAGGCAGCCUUCCGGCGCCCUACUGACGCUGAGGCACGAAAGCGCGGGGAUCGAACAGGAUUAGAUACCCUAGUAGUC